Molecule: non-coding RNA, 65 nt
Filed under: Clostridium neonatale
Lineage: Bacteria; Bacillati; Bacillota; Clostridia; Eubacteriales; Clostridiaceae
Also listed under: 1 other name
Description: RAGATH-18
Rfam family: RAGATH-18 RNA
About the family: Actinobacteria, Firmicutes, Fusobacteria, Thermotogae (1 example). Nearby to self-cleaving ribozyme genes
Source: RNAcentral
ACUGUGGAGUAUUAUACCAAAUGUAAGUAGCUUUUAUAGCAAAAGCAGAUACGUUGAGACGGUUG